GGCCUGGUAGCUCAGUUGGUAGAGCACUUGAUUGAAGCUCAAGGUGUCGGCAGUUCGAUUCUGUCCCAGGCCA
Molecule: non-coding RNA, 73 nt
Organism: Carnobacterium inhibens subsp. gilichinskyi
Lineage: Bacteria; Bacillati; Bacillota; Bacilli; Lactobacillales; Carnobacteriaceae
Source: Rfam